Molecule: ribosomal RNA, 253 nt
Filed under: uncultured bacterium
Lineage: Bacteria
Description: partial 16S ribosomal RNA
Rfam family: Bacterial small subunit ribosomal RNA
Source: RNAcentral
UACGUAGGGUGCAAGCGUUAAUCGGGAUUACUGGGCGUAAAGCGUGCGCAGGCGGUAAUGUAAGACAGUUGUGAAAUCCCCGGGCUCAACCUGGGAACUGCAUCUGUGACUGCAUUGCUGGAGUACGGCAGAGGGGGAUGGAAUUCCGCGUGUAGCAGUGAAAUGCGUAGAUAUGCGGAGGAACACCGAUGGCGAAGGCAAUCCCCUGGGCCUGCACUGACGCUCAUGCACGAAAGCGUGGGGAGCAAACAGG